UCCUACGGGAGGCAGCAGUGGGGAAUUUUGGACAAUGGGGGCAACCCUGAUCCAGCCAUGCCGCGUGAGUGAAGAAGGCCUUCGGGUUGUAAAGCUCUUUCAGUCGAGAAGAAAAGGUUACGGUUAAUACUCCGUGACUCAUGACGGUAUCGGAAGAAGAAG
Molecule: ribosomal RNA, 162 nt
Filed under: uncultured bacterium
Lineage: Bacteria
Description: partial 16S ribosomal RNA
Rfam family: Bacterial small subunit ribosomal RNA
Source: RNAcentral